AUCAAAAUGUGGCUCAGCAUUUUCCCCUGGUAGCAAUUACUGAAUAAAAUCUGUUUUCAGUGCUUUAACUACUGUCCACCUUUGGUUAUCUUUGACAGUAGAGACUGGCUUUGUGCUAACACCUACCAAACCCCUGUCCCCAGAUCUCUUUUCAUGAAUUGUUCUGAGGUCACGCAGAACACUUACCAAAUGGAGGUUAAAGCAGAAGUGGAAGGACUUUGUGAAAAAGGGCAAAACGUGGAAACACCUCAUGGCCUUGGUGACAAAGUGCCACACAAGGCUGUAUUACCAAAUGUCUGACUUAAGAAAAAAAAUUAUAAAAGAAAGACAGACUGAGAUUGAAAGCAUCCGAAUUUUAUUCCAGCGACUCAAUCCCCAUUGUGUGGAGUAGACCAGAAUGAAUAAAUUGAACUUUGUAUAUUCAGCAGCUCAAUUAUUAAACAUAUCCACAGAAACUCAUUCUGUCAAAUUAACUGUGGAGGUUGUUGUUGCUGUUGCAGAGGAGAGCUCACUGCACUCAUGGAGAGGGGAGAAAGGACCUGACUUUUGGCAUGACUGCUUUUGGCCCUAUGAACGAAUGUUCUCCUAGCACUGGAAAGCUGGUGAACUUCUCCUAAACAACAACAGCACCAAUAUAAAUAUCAAUGAAGAUAAAUAUACAUCUGGAGAUUACAAACAGCCUCUGUCACUUCUGAGACAAGACCAACCGCUUCUCUUCCUUUUCCUCCUCAGCCUACUCAACC
Lemur catta (Ring-tailed lemur) is the source of this 743-nucleotide long non-coding RNA. RefSeq lists it as uncharacterized. The transcript has 6 exons. NCBI's taxonomy places the organism in Eukaryota, Metazoa, Chordata, Mammalia, Primates, Lemuridae. The record is from RefSeq and is a predicted model, not a curated record.